UGGAGCAGAGAAAAAGGGAGCGCGCCUGUUCCCUAGUGCGCAUGACAGAAAAGGGGUCUCUCGUCCAACCUUCUGCUUUGCUCUAAACCAUUUUGGAGGAAGAGUGAACGGAGGGCGUGGUGUAGAAAGGGGGGCGGGACUUCGGAGAGGAACGGCUUAAAAAUUUGCCUCAGGAUUUUGGCGCCGAAUGAUUGGCAUUUAUACUUAACGAAGGCAAUAGGUAGACUCCGGAGGAGAUGCGGUAAUUUCUUCUUUCCUGCAGCAAUUCACAGGUUCUGCUUUGCUUCCAUCAAGAGAGUCCGGCUUGGCCUCCUGUGUCAUAUAGAUGGGUGAACCCACUGGCGCUCCCAGACAGACACAGAGGAGAGAAUCACGGAUUCACCCUACUGUCGCUCUGUGCCUUGUCUCCAUUUCUCUCAGCACAGGCUGUGGCUGAGCCAGCAAAAAGCAUCACAGCCAAUACUGGUUUCUUUUUCUAAUCCAUGUAAAGAGCACAUUUUCAUGGGGCUCUUGGGCCUACAGAU
Molecule: long non-coding RNA, 524 nt
Organism: Balaenoptera ricei (Rice's whale)
Lineage: Eukaryota; Metazoa; Chordata; Mammalia; Artiodactyla; Balaenopteridae
Exons: 4
Source: RefSeq, a predicted model, not a curated record